RNAcentral lists this transfer RNA (71 nucleotides) under Ruminiclostridium sp. Its description in RNAcentral is "tRNA-OTHER". It matches the Rfam family "tRNA". Rfam says of the family: Transfer RNA (tRNA) molecules are approximately 80 nucleotides in length. Lineage: Bacteria; Bacillati; Bacillota; Clostridia; Eubacteriales; Oscillospiraceae. The record is from RNAcentral.
ACCUUUUUGCUCCGCAAUAAUAAACCCCUCCUAAGGGUUAGUUGUGGGUUCGAUUCCCGCAGGGGGUGCCA